UGGCGGCAGGCCUAACACAUGCAAGUCGAGCGGAUGAAGGGAGCUUGCUCCCUGAUUCAGCGGCGGACGGGUGAGUAAUGCCUAGGAAUCUGCCUGGUAGUGGGGGACAACGUCUCGAAAGGGACGCUAAUACCGCAUACGUCCUACGGGAGAAAGCAGGGGACCUUCGGGCCUUGCGCUAUCAGAUGAGCCUAGGUCGGAUUAGCUAGUUGGUGAGGUAAUGGCUCACCAAGGCGACGAUCCGUAACUGGUCUGAGAGGAUGAUCAGUCACACUGGAACUGAGACACGGUCCAGACUCCUACGGGAGGCAGCAGUGGGGAAUAUUGGACAAUGGGCGAAAGCCUGAUCCAGCCAUGCCGCGUGUGUGAAGAAGGUCUUCGGAUUGUAAAGCACUUUAAGUUGGGAGGAAGGGCAUUAACCUAAUACGUUGGUGUUUUGACGUUACCGACAGAAUAAGCACCGGCUAACUCUGUGCCAGCAGCCGCGGUAAUACAGAGGGUGCAAGCGUUAAUCGGAUUACUGGGCGUAAGCGCGCGUAGUGGUUUGUA
This 549-nucleotide ribosomal RNA is filed under the name Pseudomonas sp. Z3S-47. RNAcentral's name for it is "bacterial SSU rRNA". It matches the Rfam family "Bacterial small subunit ribosomal RNA", at positions 37 to 583 of the family's 1533-position model. The record is from RNAcentral. Lineage: Bacteria; Pseudomonadati; Pseudomonadota; Gammaproteobacteria; Pseudomonadales; Pseudomonadaceae.